This 433-nucleotide ribosomal RNA is filed under the name uncultured bacterium. Its description in RNAcentral is "partial 16S ribosomal RNA". It matches the Rfam family "Bacterial small subunit ribosomal RNA", at positions 29 to 507 of the family's 1533-position model. The record is from RNAcentral.
AACGAACGCUGGCGGCAUGCCUAACACAUGCAAGUCGAACGAGAACUUCGGGUCUAGGGGCGCACGGGUGCGUAACGCGUGGGAACCUGCACUUAGGUUCGGAAUAACUCCCCGAAAGGGGUGCUAAUACCGGAUAAUGUCUUCGGACCAAAGAUUUAUCGCCUUUGGAUGGGCCCGCGUUGGAUUAGCUAGUUGGUAGGGUACAAGCCUACCAAUGCGACGAUCCAUAGCUGGUCUGAGAGGAUGAUCAGCCACCCUGGGACUGAGACACGGCCCAGACUCCUACGGGAGGCAGCAGUGGGGAAUAUUGGACAAUGGGCGAAAGCCUGAUCCAGCAAUGCCGCGUGAGUGAUGAAGGCCUUAGGGUUGUAAAGCUCUUUUACCCGGGAUGAUAAUGACAGUACCGGGAGAAUAAGCUCCGGCUAACUCCGUG